GCGCCUUGUGGCGUAGGGCAUCGCCCUCUCACGGCGGUAACAGGGGUUCGAAUCCCCUAGGGGACGCCA
RNAcentral lists this transfer RNA (69 nucleotides) under Neoroseomonas lacus. RNAcentral's name for it is "tRNA-Glu". The stretch from base 3 to 58 matches the Rfam family "tRNA", at positions 10 to 63 of the family's 71-position model. Rfam says of the family: Transfer RNA (tRNA) molecules are approximately 80 nucleotides in length. Their secondary structure includes four short double-helical elements and three loops (D, anti-codon, and T loops). Lineage: Bacteria; Pseudomonadati; Pseudomonadota; Alphaproteobacteria; Acetobacterales; Acetobacteraceae. The record is from RNAcentral.